CCAAAGAGGGGGACCUUCGGGCCUCUUGCCAUCGGAUGUGCCCAGAUGGGAUUAGCUAGUAGGUGGGGUAACGGCUCACCUAGGCGACGAUCCCUAGCUGGUCUGAGAGGAUGACCAGCCACACUGGAACUGAGACACGGUCCAGACUCCUACGGGAGGCAGCAGUGGGGAAUAUUGCACAAUGGGCGCAAGCCUGAUGCAGCCAUGCCGCGUGUAUGAAGAAGGCCUUAGGGUUGUAAAGUACUUUCAGCGGGGAGGAAGGGAGUAAAGUUAAUACCUUUGCUCAUUGACGUUACCCGCAGAAGAAGCACCGGCUAACUCCGUGCCAGCAGCCGCGGUAAUACGGAGGGUGCAAGCGUUAAUCGGAAUUACUGGGCGUAAAGCGCACGCAGGCGGUUUGUUAAGUCAGAUGUGAAAUCCCCGGGCUCAACCUGGGAACUGCAUCUGAUACUGGCAAGCUUGAGUCUCGUAGAGGGGGGUAGAAUUCCAGGUGUAGCGGUGAAAUGCGUAGAGAUCUGGAGGAAUACCGGUGGCGAAG
This 538-nucleotide ribosomal RNA is filed under the name uncultured Pseudomonadota bacterium. Its description in RNAcentral is "bacterial SSU rRNA". It matches the Rfam family "Bacterial small subunit ribosomal RNA", at positions 201 to 720 of the family's 1533-position model. Lineage: Bacteria; Pseudomonadati; Pseudomonadota. The record is from RNAcentral.